GAUGAACGCUAGCUACAGGCUUAACACAUGCAAGUCGAGGGGAAACGACAUCGAAAGCUUGCUUUUGAUGGGCGUCGACCGGCGCACGGGUGAGUAACGCGUAUCCAACCUGCCCAUCACUUGGGAAUAACCUUGCGAAAGUAAGACUAAUACCCAAUGACAUCCCACGAAGACAUCUGAAUGGGAUUAAAGAUUUAUCGGUGAUGGAUGGGGAUGCGUCUGAUUAGCUUGUUGGCGGGGUAACGGCCCACCAAGGCAACGAUCAGUAGGGGUUCUGAGAGGAAGGUCCCCCACAUUGGAACUGAGACACGGUCCAAACGCCUACGGGAGGCAGCAGUGAGGAAUAGUGGUCAAGGGGCGAGAGCCUGAACCAGCCAAGUAGCGUGCAGGAUGACGGCCCUAUGGGUUGUAAACUGCUUUUAUAAGGGAAUAAAGUGGGUCUCGGGAGACUUUUUGCAUGUACCUUAUGAAUAAGGACCGGCUAAUUCCGUG
Molecule: ribosomal RNA, 492 nt
Filed under: uncultured bacterium
Lineage: Bacteria
Description: partial 16S ribosomal RNA
Rfam family: Bacterial small subunit ribosomal RNA
Source: RNAcentral